RNAcentral lists this ribosomal RNA (334 nucleotides) under uncultured bacterium. RNAcentral's name for it is "bacterial SSU rRNA". It matches the Rfam family "Bacterial small subunit ribosomal RNA", at positions 107 to 439 of the family's 1533-position model. The record is from RNAcentral.
UGCGUAACACGUGAGGAAUUUGUCCAUCGGCGGGGGAUAGCCGGCCCAACGGCCGGGUAAUACCGCGUACGACCCUCGGGGGGCAUCCCCUGGGGGUGAAAGCCGCAAGGCGCCGGUGGAGAAUCUCGCGGCCUAUCAGCUAGUUGGUGAGGUAAUGGCUCACCAAGGCGACGACGGGUAGCUGGUCCGAGAGGAUGACCAGCCACAUUGGGACUGAGACACGGCCCAGACUCCUACGGGAGGCAGCAGUGGGAAAUAUUGCGCAAUGGGCGAAAGCCUGACGCAGCGACGCCGCGUGUGGGAUGAAGGUCUUCGGACCGUAAACCACUGUCGG